Molecule: ribosomal RNA, 367 nt
Filed under: uncultured bacterium
Lineage: Bacteria
Description: bacterial SSU rRNA
Rfam family: Bacterial small subunit ribosomal RNA
Source: RNAcentral
GGAGGGUGCAAGCGUUAAUCGGAAUUACUGGGCGUAAAGCGCACGCAGGCGGUUUGUUAAGUCAGAUGUGAAAUCCCCGCGCUCAACGUAGGAACGGCAUUUGAGACUGGCAAGCUGGAGUCUUGUAGAGGGGGUAGAAUUCCAGGUGUAGCGGUGAAAUGCGUAGAGAUCUGGAGGAAUACCGGUGGCGAAGGCGGCCCCCUGGACAAAGACUGACGCUCAGGUGCGAAAGCGUGGGAGCAACAGGAUUAGAUACCCUGGUAGUCCACGCUGUAAACGAUGUCGAUUUGGAGGUUGCGCCCUUGAGGGGUGGCUUCCGUAGCUAACGCGUUAAAUCGGCCGCCUGGGGAGUACGGCCGCAAGGUUA